UGGGGAAUUUUGGACAAUGGGGGCAACCCUGAUCCAGCCAUGCCGCGUGAGUGAAGAAGGCCUUCGGGUUGUAAAGCUCUUUCAGCCGGGAAGAAAACGCAUGGGUUAAUACCCUGUGUGGAUGACGGUACCGGAAUAAGAAGCACCGGCUAACUACGUGCCAGCAGCCGCGGUAAUACGUAGGGUGCGAGCGUUAAUCGGAAUUACUGGGCGUAAAGCGUGCGCAGGCGGUUUGUUAAGAUAGGCGUGAAAUCCCCGGGCUCAACCUGGGAACUGCGUUUAUGACUGGCAGGCUAGAGUAUGGCAGAGGGGGGUGGAAUUCCACGUGUAGCAGUGAAAUGCGUAGAGAUGUGGAGGAACACCGAUGGCGAAGGCAGCCCCCUGGGCCAAUACUGACGCUCAUGCACGAAAGCGUGGGUAGCAAACA
This 427-nucleotide ribosomal RNA is filed under the name Microvirga ossetica. RNAcentral's name for it is "partial 16S ribosomal RNA". It matches the Rfam family "Bacterial small subunit ribosomal RNA", at positions 355 to 774 of the family's 1533-position model. The record is from RNAcentral. Lineage: Bacteria; Pseudomonadati; Pseudomonadota; Alphaproteobacteria; Hyphomicrobiales; Methylobacteriaceae. RNAcentral also lists the same sequence under 1 other name.